Molecule: small RNA, 474 nt
Filed under: Arabidopsis thaliana (thale cress)
Lineage: Eukaryota; Viridiplantae; Streptophyta; Magnoliopsida; Brassicales; Brassicaceae
Description: ATSL104120
Source: RNAcentral
AGUCUUAUUGUUGUUCAUCAAUCAAAAGCAAAUAUAACCUUCAGCAUAUAUUUGGCUAUACUAAGGUUCUUUUUACUCAAUUUCUCAUUAUGUCUAUAAAAAAUAUGCUUUCACUCCUAGCGGUUCUAUGCAUCAUCGUUUCUGUAAAUGCUUAGAUGCCUCAGUUUCCGGCUCCAUUUCCUUUUUCAUUUCUAUUCGAACCGAUUCCUGGUAUGUCAGGAUUACCUGACAUAACAAAAUGUUGGUCAUCCGUGAUGGAUAUUCCUGGAUGCAUUGUAGAGGUUUCUCAAUCUAUUUUCACUGGAAAAUUCGGCAAUUUAGGUCCAUCUUGUUGUAAAGCAUUGUUGGACGCUGAAGUCAAUUCCAUGCCGAAAAUUCCAUUCAUUCUGUUUUUCCCUCCGAUGCUAAAGGAACAAUGCUCAAGAAUUGUGGGUGCAACUCCUCCUAUACCAAAAUAGAGUUUUAGCUUAGUUU